Heterocephalus glaber (naked mole-rat) is the source of this 732-nucleotide long non-coding RNA. The record is from Ensembl. NCBI's taxonomy places the organism in Eukaryota, Metazoa, Chordata, Mammalia, Rodentia, Bathyergidae.
UGUAGGUUGGAGAAGAAAUCAGUGGGAGAACUGUAGAGGUAGCACGUGCGCUUGGAGAGGAUGAGCCUGAGGGGUGGGAGCUCCACUGCAGCCGUGGGAGGAGAUGGGAAGAGCCAACAACAUGCCCUAGGACCUGGGUAGUGGUUGGCGUGAAAGGGUCAGAAUCAUACCCUCAACAGGAGAAAUUUUAAAAAAUAAAACUGCUGCUAUUGUAAAAUUCCACAGAAAUUAAGUUUAAAAAACAGAGAAGAAAACAAAUACAAAGUUCAAGACUGAAUUUUAACUAAAAAGAAGCAACAACAAACAAGCAAAUUUUGUUUCACAUUAUGACUAAAAUGGAGUAGCAUUAGGAAAACUUCUCAGGAAGUCAGAACACAAUAUAAAUCGAGUCAGAACCACAUACAGUAGCAGAUUUGCAAGUGUGCUGCUGGCAUGUGGAGGCCAGGCGACUUGGCUACGUGGACAGAAGAAAGAGAUGGUUCCUGCUUGGCCCAGCUGUUCUAACUCUCCCAGCCCAGCAGCCGGACAUGUGGGUAGAGAAGCUUUCUCAUGACCCUGGCCUCAGCUGUCAUCUUCCUGCAACCAUUUGAAGGAGUCAAGCUGGACAGUGGCCAGCUCAGCCAAUCCCUAGAAAAAUGAAAUAUAAGAAUAAAUUACUGUCUUAAGCUAAGUUUUGUUAUGGUAUGUUACACACAGCAGUAAACAAUAUGAACAUGUAAUAAACAUCUGGUG